This 6937-nucleotide long non-coding RNA is filed under the name Equus asinus (donkey). RNAcentral's name for it is "lncRNA (ENSEASG00005029321.1)". Lineage: Eukaryota; Metazoa; Chordata; Mammalia; Perissodactyla; Equidae. The record is from RNAcentral.
AAUGGUUUAAUGAUGUUUUACAACAGAAAUGAACUGUACAGUUACAGUAAGUUUAAUAUAUAUAAAAAAUUACAGCAGACAAAUGCAUCUACACAAAAUCUAUCAUUUCAUUCUGAUUCACUGUCACCUACACAACCUCUCCCAAGCCUGCAGCCCCUGCAGGCAGCCCCAGGAGGGGGAAUCAUGUAAAGGGCACUUUAAAGAGACAGCACCACUCAUAGUCCCCAUCACCUCCUCAGGCCUCGGGAGGGACCAGCUAAUUCCCCUAAAUGUAAAGUUGCGUGUGUUUUGGGUUUUCAAAACCAAGAAAAUGUGUGUUUCCCAGGGCCCAGGUAACAAGGUCCUGAACUCCAAGUUAUGAGCUGAUUCUUAUAAAAUAUUCCUAUCAGAGGGGAAACGGCUAACCGGGUGCCCUGGGCAGUGAAGCCAUACAACAGCCACCCAGACUGCAGAGUCACCUACGGAGAAAUGUCAGAGGACUCCCAAUAAACCACUCAGGAAUUGUCACUGCCUCAGUAAAGCUGCUGGACAAGUUUGGAAAGAAUCAUUUACACCACAUCUUAAGUUUCCACAAAAGAGAACUCAAACUCACAUUUUAAAGUUAAGUACAUAAAACAAAAAGUUUUGGGAGACCAAGGGGUCAAUUUCCCCUUGUGACCCUCCCUUGACAACAGUGGAAAAACACCCCUGAAUCAAUAUCUUUAAAAAACAAGAAGAAAAGAAAAAGGUGGGGGAGUUAAGAUAUUUAAAGAUAGAAAGAAAACACCUUUAGAAAAAACAUGAUCACUGUCUCUUUAAAACAAAACAAAAUCCCAGCUGGGAACAGUAAUCAGUGAAUAUGCAACCCAAAUUGAACCUAGUGGAAGUUUAUUACUAAAUCUUAUGUACACUCAGAAUGUUUUCAUUUUCUUUUUUAUUAUGAACACCUAGGCAGUGAAAACUGUUAUGUCAAUACAUACAUAGACACACCCCAAACAUACAAAAAUACUAUUAUUUCAAACUACUAAGAAUAGGACAGUUCAGUUAUUUUCAUGCUAUGACUUUAAGGGCAUUACACUGAAACAAACAAGAAGUUAAACGACAUUUUUUUUAAUAUCCCAGAAAUAUACCAAAAUAUACAUCUAAGCUUUGGAAUUACUGAGGUUAGACUAAUGCAAGUGCUGGGUAAUCGUACUUAAUACACAAGUCUAAGGUUCUGCAGGAAAGAAAUCAUCUUUGGUAUCUGCAUCAGGCUAAUAUUAUUAACAUUUGGAUUUUGCUUUGGGAUAGAGCUUGUAUGACCCUAGAACCAGACCCCCUCCCCCAAUCAACUGAGAUUAAAAAGAUCCAUUUAAAAAGUCACAGGCAUCUGCCUAGAGCGAAAGGUCGUGAACACAAUGCAUAGUUGCACAGUGGCGCUGAAAAAGAAACCGACCACAAGAAGGAGAAAUGACAAGCUCGAUCAUCGUUCUGCAUGUUUCCUCACAAACAGGACAGCCACUUCCAAGCAGUUCCAGUACAGGAAAAGAGAAGAAAGGCUCAGAAGGGCCCGUGGGUGUGUGUUCCCCUCACGGCCCAGAGGUCAGAGCACCCAGCAGAGCCGCCAAUCGUGCGCCAGCGUCUCCAGCUCCCCCACUCUGUGGUGUCCACGGCCGCGCUAAGCUCCCGUGUGACGUGUUAGUGUCCGUGGACAAUCGUGGCGACGGGGUUUUGUCUAUGGUUUUGGAAUAUCUGAAAUGCCAAUGUGUUCCACAGCACGUGCACAGCUGAAAGAGCCAGAGCUCCUGGGAGGCACCUCUGUAGACCCCGGCGUGGGGCACAGACCCCCGGCCUCCCCUGCGGAGGGCCCCGCCUGCUGGCCUCCCUCCGCCAAACGCCAGGACGCCACAGACUGGACUGACGCUGAAGACUUCCCUUUUCUUUGGUUUUUUUGUUUGUUUUGAGUUUAUACAAUCAUUAAGAAAUCUUUGGUUUUGGCUGGAAAUUUAAACAAAACAAAACAAAACAAAACAAAGAAACCACCCUCCCUGGCUUACAGCAGCAGUAUCAAGACCUGGCAGAGCUUUCCCAGCGCUGGGGUGGGAGCUGAGGGUCGGGGAACUACAUUCAAAGAAAAGGUGAAAGGGCUGGGGAUGCAGCUUCUAGAGAGCCUGGUGGAUAUAAGAUUGUCAAAUAAUAACAACAUUAAUAAUAAAAACUUAAAUAUUUGGAUUUUUUCUUUUUGGUCAUGUCAAAGGAAAAAAGUGAAAUGUGUACGCAGCAGUCAGCUUAAGGGAGCCUUUGGUGUCUUCCCUUCCACCCAAAGUCCUGAAAAUAAGCAGAACCCUGAGGCCUCAGAGGGGAAGGGAUGGCCUCCACCCACUGGGGGAAAGGCAAGUACAAGAGUUACUGUGCAGCCAGCAGUCAGACAGGUGGGAGGGGGCGGGGUGCGGAGAGCUGGCCAGCCGCUCCAGGCAGGGUGCUGGGGAAAGCAGAUGUUAGGAGACCUGUGAAGACCCCUUGCAACAAAAAGAAAGAGAAGAUUGCAAUUUGCCCUCAGUUUGCAGUAGCUUGUAAGCAGCGACAUUCAGAGGCUUUACGAGGUCCCACCCUAGGCUCCAGGUCCCGUGAUGCUAUAGGCCAGAGUUCAACAUUACUCAGAGGGAGGGCAGACUUGGCAACUCUGUAGGGUUUAGAGAAAGUUAAAGCAAGUUACUCGGUCACGAGUUAGAAAUGAGGUAUACGACAGCUCCCGGACGUGUGGUGGGCAGGAGCCCCACGCUUACUCACCUAGCCUGUGCUACUGCCACAGAUGGAGGAAGUGGGGCCACGGUCUACCGUGGGAGGAGGGCGUGUCCUCGGAGAGGGAGGCUCUGUGGAGUGGGUAAUGCACACGUGCCCACUCAAGCAGAGGCAAGAAGCUGGGAGAUGCCUGUUUCUCCUCUUUAUCUGAACUCAGGGGACACAGGAGACACACCAUUUAUGUUGUGGAAAGCCAAUGUUAUAAUAUGGUUGCAAAGUCAUAUGCUCCCUCCUUUUUUCCCCUCCCAACUGUCUGCCGUUUUAAACACAACCAGGCAGGCAGUGGUCCACUGUCCUCUUAGAAGUAUGUGCCUUGUGCAGAGCAGGGUCGGAGCCAAAGACAUGGCACCCCCCCCCCCCCCCCCCGCCUACGACAGCCUUUCCUAUCCCAACUGUCCUUUUAGCUUCUGAAAGUGCAUUUCAUUUCCUGCUCUAUCGUUAAGACCUUGAGACACUGUGAGGGCUGGGUGGGAGCGCAGAGUCUUUUCUCCUCUUGCCUCUGUCCUUUCUCGGUCGAAGGAGAUCCCACCUUUGAGCAAGUGUUUGGAUGUCCCCUCUUGUUAACAGCACUGCGGCCGGCUGUCUGCCUGCAGACUUGGGGUGCAGCGUUAGGGGACCCAACGCUGCAGCCCAGUUACGAAGGAAGCCUAAGGCUGCUUCUGUGUCGGCUGUGGCCGGCCCGAAACAAGGACGGAUGAAUAAACCAGGGAAAGUCAGGGAACUUUGCAGCAGACCUCAAUGUUUUUAUAGUAAAUUAGUUUUGGGGUGAACUUUCUGACAGUGUCCUGGGUUUGAAGCAGAAGGGGCGCUGGGUGGCGGAGCUCUGCGCAGAGUGGGCAGAUCCGGGGACACAGAAAGAAUCACAAACGGAACCUUCCCUCCUGAGCCCCAGGGAGUGUCACUUGCCUGCUCAAAGUGGGGUUCCACCAUGCACACCUGUUUCCCCAUAACUUUGUUUCAAGUGCUCUGAUCUUCAAUAUCCCCGUUACCUACUUAUAAACCUACGUAGCGCUUUGAAAGGUCACACAAUGUUAAUACCACUUUUACACAAUGUCAGAACAGUAAGAUGACUAGUAAAGCUUUCAUGAAGUUCUGCAACCUGAUUGUUUUUGAUGGCAUAUUAAGAGAGCAUUAAGUUUCGUUCCCCUCUCCCUUUCUGUGUCCCAUCAAGAGUCACCAGAACAAUGAACUACCCAGCUUCUGGAGCCACACACAAAACCCAUGGAGCAGUGCAGCUCCAAGGGGGGAAAGGAAGGCCUGCUAGUUUUCCAGGCCAUCCUGCUCUUGAAAAUGCUUAUCCUUUACACGUGACGGAACAGACGGCACAGAAGCACAUCUAAAUACCGCCUGAGCUCAAACAGGCUGUACUGGUUCUAUUUAUAAGUGUUAGAUAAAGGGAAACAACGAUAAGAAUUCCACCCCCAUCUUCUUCCCUCCCCUAAAUUUCCCAGCAAUUCCAAGAACAUCACUGCUGCACUGAGCGACUAUCCACCUUCACGGAGCCAGCAGAGUGAAACUCAGUAAGUCUCCUUUCCAAAGCCAGGAUAACCAAGGAGACAUCCUUCAAAAAGUGGAGAACGGGGCGGGGGGGAAGAAGAGAGGGGAGAGGAAAAGGAAAGAGACAAAAGGAAAGCUUUUCCAGAUUCCAGCCUUUUCUCCUAUUCCCUCUGCCUGUUUUGCAAACAUAAGGAUAGACAAUGACAUGGAAGUGUCUUUGGUAUCCAAACCAAAUCCCACUUAAGUUCUGUGAGAUGGAUUGUUUAUUUAAAAAUAGCCUUUCUGGAAAUAUAGGCUUUAUCUGAACUCGGGAAGCCAAGAAAUCUGUCCCAAAGGAUGGGCAGAAAGGGCUCUUAAUUUUUCCUAAACUGGCACCAUUUCUCACUCACAUUGCCACCAACAAUACUCUCCUCAGUCUCACCAACCAGCCAAUCCCUAAAGGUCACACCCGACCCCAGGUGUGAGGAAGCAGGCUGGCUUCCAACUUCUUGGUUUGGUUUUUCUUCUGCUUGCGUUUUUGGUCUAGACAGAAUUAGCGUUGGCAAGAGAAAAGGAAGUAGGGUUUUAGAACGUUGUGCUACCAGCACAACACUCAACAACAUGACAGAGGCUGACAAAAAGAACCUGUUUUAUUUUAAUGUUCCUAGAUUAGGAUGCAUCAAACUCGUCUCUCCUCUCCUCUUCAAAUUAAAUGAGGCAUGUCUACUUCUGCCUCUAUUUCUCCACGACACACCCAGACAUUCACACAUUCAUCCUUUGCCUAAGCUCUUGCUACACACAGAGGUAAUGAAUCAUCAGAGAGGCUGGCAGGGUCUGGGGACAUGGGCAGCCAUGGGAAGGGAUGUAAAUGCCCUAGGGGACCCUGAACCUACUGGAUAACCCAUGUGUAACCUGCAUGCCACCACACUGCACUGCAGGUCAGACCACAGAGAGGCCAACGAAUCCCAAACCCAAUCACAGGGAUAAUCAAGUUUCCUUUGGCAAGACAGAUAUAAGGAAAACAAACAAACACAUAUGAGCAAGGUUUUCCUUCUAACAUAAUCAACUUCUCCUCUUCCCCCACCCCAACCCUCCCUAACCCUAUAAACGGUAACCUAUAAGCAGGAUCCCAAAUACAUACAGCAUCAAUCAUGUUCAUCAAUCAUAAUAAACAUCGGUUCAACUAAAUGCUACAGCUAGAAUUAUUUCCACUAUUUAUAAAGUUUUUUUCUUUUUACUUAUUUAUUUGGUUUUUAGUUUAAAACCAGUUGCAACAAUGCUAAGCUAUGCUGAGGUAUUUUAUGAAGGUGCCAGAAGCUAGCUGUUACCCACCAGCAUCACCCUCACAGAUUAAGGAAACACCAUUCAAAGAGGAAGGAAGAGAAGAGAGGAAGGGAGAUCCAGGUUAGAGUCAACCCAAGAGCCACUCAAGCUGACUGCAUUUCGCGAAGCCAAGAGGAGAAAGCCAAGCAAGGAAGCGCUCAUGGAUCAGGAUGCUGAGAAGAAAGCAAGAGUUCACAAACCAUACGGACACGCAGGUGGAAACUGGACAACUCUGAGAAAAAACAUAUUUCCUGCGCUCCUGAUGGAAUCCUUUCAGAUAUCUUACUGGAAACCUCAGGGGUGUCCCAUUCCAGUCUCUUGGACUAAGAAAAGAAUGAGACAGAACAGGAUUAGCAUCAGCCUUUAAUGAGGAGAGAAUUUAUUUAUUCUAUUCCUGUCCAAGCUCACACUGGUAUUGUGUGCACCGUCUAUGCAAACCUGGAUAAUAGCUCAUCUUAGUUAUUCUUCUUAAAGGAAUGGCAAAGGAUUUUUUCCUUCUCAAAAGUGAAGGCAAAUGCUAAGAAAGACUUACUAUUUUACAAGGUAUCAUCCUCAAAAUGUUUUAAGAUGAAAAUGACUUCAAAAUGGCCAGAGCUAUGAUUACAUGAACAAUGUCACACAUCAAAUGCUUUUCACACACACACAUACAGAAAUGAACUCAAGAUGGCUAUGAUCAACAUCAACCCUUGCGCAUUUGAAUAAUUUUAAAUUUCAGGUCUUAGUCUUUUUCUCCAUUAGUAUUGACAGUCUUUUAACAUUUUCAGCUCCAAUAAACAUGGUUUGAAGAAUAUAUAAAUUUUGAAUUCAUCAAUUUUAGAUCCUGACUUAAUGAGAAAGUAUUUGACCAAACUCUCAUAACAAAUUGUUGAGGCUCUUCUUAAAUUGAGGGUUCUCAAACUGCAGACUGAUCUCCGGGGAACCCCCUACGAGGUCAAAACAGAUUGCCAGCAGCAGGUCCCAACCAGGUACCACGUACCACUGGCCUCCCCAUCCCCAGCCCUGAUGCUCAGAGCUCACUGACUUCUCCCUGUCCACGCUUCUCCCCUCUCUUCCUGUCUCAAACAUUUUACUUUUUUCUUGGUAAAGAAAGUUUUGUGACGAUGACAUGGUUUGGGAACAACUUUAGACUAUGAACUACAGAGAGUUUCUUCUGUAAGCCAAGUGUUUAUUAGACAUUAAUUGCAGUGUUUUAUCAGGACUUAUAACUUUAGAAAUCUACAUUAUUUUCCUAUAAUUGCAAAGGUGUCCAGCUUUCCCAGCAAUUUAAAUAGAAAAUUUAAUAUUAAAGAUUGGGCUGAAUUUAAAUAUUGUGUCAAACAAAUAUCUGCGCUUCUGGAUAAUAUAGACAAGGUUUCUCCCCACCUUCCCAAACAAAAGA